UUAUUGUUAUUAUUAUUAUUAUUGGUAUAUUAUUUCAUACAAUUACAUGUCCUUUUUCAACUGACUAGUUUAUAGUAAUUAGUAACCAGCUAAAUGCCAUGUGAUCCAAUUUUGGGAGCACAAAUACACACUUGUGUUCAUUCAGGCAGAUACGUUUUCCCUUAUUUUAUGUUGUUUAUUUUUGCAUGGAUCAGACAUUGAUGAAGUCAUUCAUGAUUGUCAAUUUAAUUAGAAUAUAUUGCUUAUAUAUCACUGCUUACUCUGCCUUUGACAGCUACUGUCGGCAUGUACCUGGAUAUACAGCUGCAAUCCAUGUCAAAAUGCUGCAUACAUUCCAUGCAAGCUUGUUCAGAUUUAAUAUCUCAUGGCUUCUAAUAUUUUUUGACAUUUGUUUCAUU
This 398-nucleotide unclassified non-coding RNA is filed under the name Hevea brasiliensis (rubber tree). The record is from RNAcentral. Lineage: Eukaryota; Viridiplantae; Streptophyta; Magnoliopsida; Malpighiales; Euphorbiaceae.